RNAcentral lists this ribosomal RNA (492 nucleotides) under uncultured bacterium. RNAcentral describes it as "partial 16S ribosomal RNA". It matches the Rfam family "Bacterial small subunit ribosomal RNA", at positions 29 to 507 of the family's 1533-position model. The record is from RNAcentral.
AGUGAACGCUGGCGGUAGGCCUAACACAUGCAAGUCGAACGGCAGCACAGUAAGAGCUUGCUCUUACGGGUGGCGAGUGGCGGACGGGUGAGGAAUACAUCGGAAUCUACUUUUUCGUGGGGGAUAACGUAGGGAAACUUACGCUAAUACCGCAUACGACCUACGGGUGAAAGCAGGGGAACUUCGGACCUUGCGCGAUUGAAUGAGCCGAUGUCGGAUUAGCUAGUUGGCGGGGUAAAGGCCCACCAGGGCGACGAUCCGUAGCUGGUCUGAGAGGAUGAUCAGCCACACUGGAACUGAGACACGGUCCAGACUCCUACGGGAGGCAGCAGUGGGGAAUAUUGGACAAUGGGCGCAAGCCUGAUCCAGCCAUACCGCGUGGGUGAAGAAGGCCUUCGGGUUGUAAAGCCCUUUUGUUGGGAAAGAAAAGCAGCAGGUUAAUACCCCGCUGUUCUGACGGUACCCAAAGAAUAAGCACCGGCUAACUUCGUG